RNAcentral lists this long non-coding RNA (1155 nucleotides) under Arabidopsis lyrata. Its description in RNAcentral is "long non-coding RNA (ALYR_LNC001516)". Lineage: Eukaryota; Viridiplantae; Streptophyta; Magnoliopsida; Brassicales; Brassicaceae. The record is from RNAcentral.
CGUCGUCGUGUUUGUCAUCAAAUGGGUAAGUAAGGGCAAUAAUGUCAUUUAGAUUCAACCAACCACAGCACUGGAACGGAAGCCCAACCCAAAGACAAAGACAGAGAGAGAGCGCUUCCAGUCGAUGACAAUGGCGUCUUUAGCCUUGAGAGUCUAGAUCGAGUAAGCGAAGUCGUUGAAUCUCAUCGCGAUUUCUAGCCCCAGGUACUCUAUAUUGAAUCUCUCAAUGUGCUUUGGUUAUCGCUAGAGGACGUUGGAUCAUAGGAUUUUUGGAGUUAGGGUACAAUUAGCUGAAAAUUCCUAUUUCGAAAUGCCAUCUCCUUGAGGUUAGCAAGACUGUGGAACAAAAGCACUUAGCUGAUGCUUGUAAAUAGUUUAGGUUUUGAAUCUUCCGGCUCUGUUUCGAGAACUGGCAAGUUGGUUCCCUUUGAAACACUUGAUACUGUUGUUGAGGUCUUGUAAAAUUCUGUAUGAAUCAUUGUGUUUGUGUUUCUUUCUCUUAAACCCUUAAAAACAAUUUGAUAUUAAACAAUUUGAUCAAGUUUACAAGUAUUUAUACACAUACUUACUUUAAUAGUAUGCAGUUAUUGGCUUGUCUUAUUUGAUAGAAUUGGCUAUAGUUGCUUGGACCUCAGAGUUUUGAUCAGUUCCACUGACUAUGAGCAAGAAGCUGUUAGCUUAUAGCCUUAUAGUUAUCAUGUUCUAAUGAUCAAAUGAACUAUUUAAGAACUUACUUUUUGCAAUAUUCAUGACUGUUUCUGGGUGAUUUCGUGAAGCUCUUCGUUUGCAACUUCAAGCUUUUAUUCUGGCUGAUACCUUCGUCUGAUCUUUUAGUCUCUAGUGAUGACCUCAAUAUUCUAGGACUUUCCUUAUUUCAUUGUUGGGGAAACGCUGGCUUAUUGGUUUUGCAAGGGAAUGACCGAGAUUAAUAGAAACUAUUUUUUCAACUGAUUCAUAUAUGUUGCUUUAUUAAACAUUAUCCAUGAUACAUAUGUAUUAUAUAUUUAUAUUGCUGAGUUCACAACUAAUUGUUACUCUAUAACUAUCAGGUUUUUAAAGAUCAAUCAUUUCCUGAAAGAGUAAAACACAGUGAAGAUGUAAACACUGAGAGCAGAAGAGACCAAGACCACAAGCGCUAGCACGGUAUGAAUCGUC